GACAGAGGGGGCGAGUGUUGUCCGGAGACACUGGGCGUAAAGCGCGCGCAGGCGGCAACCUUAGUGUCGUGUGAAAGCUCCCGGCUCAACCGGGGGAGGCCAUGGCAAACUGGGUCGCUCGAGCUGCGGAGAGGCCCCUCGAAUUGCCGGUGUAGCGGUGAAAUGAGUAGAGAUCGGCAGGAAGACCAAGGGGGAAGCCAGGGGGCUGGCCGCAGGCUGACGCUGAGGCGCGACAGCGUGGGGAGCAUACCGG
Molecule: ribosomal RNA, 253 nt
Filed under: uncultured bacterium
Lineage: Bacteria
Description: partial 16S ribosomal RNA
Rfam family: Bacterial small subunit ribosomal RNA
Source: RNAcentral